This is a non-coding RNA of Pelodiscus sinensis (Chinese soft-shelled turtle), 1627 nucleotides long. The record is from the annotation of a RefSeq genome assembly. NCBI's taxonomy places the organism in Eukaryota, Metazoa, Chordata, Testudines, Trionychidae.
AUGCAGGCAAUCCACCAGCAGAGGGAAGAGCUGCUCCCACAUCUCCGACUGGAGAUGGAGAUGCGGGUAUCUGUUCUCCAAGAUGCCUUCAGUUUGAACUCCCAGAAAUUGAGUCACCUACAAUUUUUCUCCCAUACAAUUAGUCCCAAAGCCCCGUCCGUCUUUCCCCUCACCUCCUGCUCUGCUGAAGCCACCACCUCUCAGGUCACCUUCGGCUGCCUGGUCAAAGGCUAUUUCCCUGAGCCGGUCUCUGUGGAGUGGAGCCCCAGCAUCGGCUCCACGGGUCUGAAGACCUACCCCUCCAUGAAGCACACUUCUGGCGACCUCUACUCACUCAGCAGCCAAGCCACCGUCCCGGCCAGCAGCUGGGAAUCCAACACCUAUCACUGCAACGUCAAGCACGAACCCACCAGCUCCAGCAUCACCAAGGAAAUCCCAAAACCUGCAAGCGUCCAACCCACGGUGCAAGUCUACCACUCCUCCUGCACCACCAAGCCAAGCACCAUCCACCUGCUCUGUCUCAUCUCCGGCUUCUACCCUAUGCCCCUGACGGUGGAGUGGCUGGUGGAUGGUGUGUCUGGGCAGCUUCGUGGAGAUACGGCCCCUGCCAAGAAGGAUGCCAGUAGCCCCACCUUCAGCACCCACAGCAAGCAUCUCCCAAGAUGACUGGAUGGAGGACAAGACGUACACCUGCAGGGUGUCCCACCAGGGCAAUACAGUGGAGGACCAAGCCCGAAAGUGCAAAGACUUAUCUACAUCUACCAGCAACAUCCUGAUCUUCAUGGUGCCCCCACCCCCUUCUGAGCUCUAUGUGGGCCUCAGCCCCACGCUCACCUGCCUGGUCGUCAACCUGCCUAACGACGCUGACCUGAAAGUGGUCUGGUCCCGGGAGAAGUCAGGGCCCGUUAGCCCCGAACCCCUCGUCUUGUCUGAGCAGCGCAACCGCACCUUCACCGCCUCCAGCUCCCUGGCCAUCUUCCCCCGCGACUGGGAAGCCGGAGAGAAAUACAGCUGCAAAGUGGAGCACUCAGAGCUUCCCUCACCCAUCAUCAAAUCCAUCUCCAAGAAGCAAGGAAAGAGCUCUCCGCCCCGUGUCUACCUCCUGCGGCCCCACCCUGAGGAGCUGAGCAACAAUGGAGACUCUGUCAGCCUCACCUGCCUGGUGCGGGGAUUCUUCCCCGAGGACAUCUCAGUGAAGUGGAUGCAGGAUCACCAAUCCAGUGACAGCAACAAAUCUGUCACCACCUCGCCCAUGAAGGAAGGAGAUGGUGAUUCAACCUACUUCCUCUAUAGCAAGAUGACAGUCGACAAGGCCAACUGGAACAACGGGGCCACCUACACCUGCAUGGUCAUCCAUGAAGCUCUGACACCAAUGAAAUUCACCCAACGCAACAUCCGCCAUGUCCCCGAGGUGAUCCUGUCUGGCGAGUUUUGCGCCGAGGACGACAACGAGGAGCUCAACAGCCUCUGGAGCACCAUCUCGGUCUUCAUCACCCUCUUCCUCUUGAGCGUGUGCUACAGCGCCACGGUGACCCUGUUCAAGGUGAAGUGGCUUUUUGCCACCGUGGUGCAGCUGAAGCGUGUGAGUGGCCCCGAGUACAAGAACGUGAUCCAGCGCGUGGUGUAG